CGUAGGGGGCAAGCGUUGUCCGGAAUUAUUGGGCGUAAAGGGCGAGUAGGCGGAUAGUUAAGUCCGGUGUGAAAGAUCAGGGCUCAACCCUGAGAGUGCAUCGGAAACUGGUUAUCUUGAGGACAGGAGAGGAAAGUGGAAUUCCACGUGUAGCGGUGAAAUGCGUAGAUAUGUGGAGGAACACCAGUGGCGAAGGCGACUUUCUGGACUGUAUCUGACGCUGAGGAGCGAAAGCGUGGGGAGCAAACAGGAUUAGAUACCCUGGUAGUCCACGCUGUAAACGAUGAGUGCUAGGUGUAGAGGGUAUCGACCCCUUCUGUGCCGCAGUUAACACAAUAAGCACUCCGCCUGGGGAGUACGGCCGCAAGGUUG
Molecule: ribosomal RNA, 372 nt
Filed under: uncultured organism
Description: bacterial SSU rRNA
Rfam family: Bacterial small subunit ribosomal RNA
Source: RNAcentral